RNAcentral lists this ribosomal RNA (468 nucleotides) under uncultured bacterium. Its description in RNAcentral is "partial 16S ribosomal RNA". It matches the Rfam family "Bacterial small subunit ribosomal RNA", at positions 28 to 507 of the family's 1533-position model. The record is from RNAcentral.
GACGAACGCUGGCGGCGUGCUUAACACAUGCAAGUCGAACGGAAAGGCCCUGCUUUUGUGGGGUGCUCGAGUGGCGAACGGGUGAGUAACACGUGAGUAACCUGCCCUUGACUUUGGGAUAACUUCAGGAAACUGGGGCUAAUACCGGAUAUGAGCUCCUGCUGCAUGGGGGGGGUUGGAAAGUUUCGGCGGUUGGGGAUGGACUCGCGGCUUAUCAGCUUGUUGGUGGGGUAGUGGCUGACCAAGGCUUUGACGGGUAGUCGGCCUGAGAGGGUGACCGGCGACAUUGGGACUGAGAUACGGCCCAGAGUCGUACGGGAGACAACAGUGGGGAAUAUUGAACAAUGGGCGGAAGCCUGAUGCAGCAGCGCCGCGUGCGGGAUGUCGUCAUUCGGGUUGUAAACCGCUUUCGCCUGUGACGAAGCGUGAGUGACGGUAAUGGGUAAAGAAGCGCCGGCUAACUACGUG